ACUCAAAUGAAUUGACGGGGGCUCACACAAGCGGUGGAGCAUGUUGCUUAAUUCGAGGCAACGCGAAGAACCUUACCUGGGCUUGACAUGUACGGAUCAACCCCGUGAAAGCGGGGCCACAGUCGCAAGACCGGAACGUGCACAGGUGCUGCAUGGCUGUCGUCAGCUCGUGCUGUGAAGUGUCGGGUUAAGUCCCUUAACGAGCGCAACCCCUGUCGUUAGUUGCUUACGGGUAAUGCCGAGUACUCUAGCGAGACUGCCGGUGUCAAACCGGAGGAAGGUGGGGAUGACGUCAAGUCCUCAUGGCCCUUACGCCCAGGGCUGCAAACGUGCUACAAUGGCGCGCACAGAGCGAUGCGAGAUCGCAAGAUGGAGCAAAUCGCAAAAAACGCGCCCCAGUUCGGAUUGCAGGCUGCAACUCGCCUGCAUGAAGUCGGAAUCGCUAGUAAUCGGAGAUCAGCUACGCUCCGGUGAAUGUGUUCCUGAGCCUUGUACACACCGCCCGU
Molecule: ribosomal RNA, 506 nt
Filed under: uncultured bacterium
Lineage: Bacteria
Description: partial 16S ribosomal RNA
Rfam family: Bacterial small subunit ribosomal RNA
Source: RNAcentral